Molecule: ribosomal RNA, 424 nt
Filed under: uncultured bacterium
Lineage: Bacteria
Description: bacterial SSU rRNA
Rfam family: Bacterial small subunit ribosomal RNA
Source: RNAcentral
UAAGGAAUCUUCCACAAUGGACGAAAGUCUGAUGGAGCAACGCCGCGUGCAGGAUGAAGGCUUUCGGGUCGUAAACUGCUUUUAUUAGAGAAGAUUAUGACGGUAUCUAAUGAAUAAGGACCGGCUAACUACGUGCCAGCAGCCGCGGUAAUACGUAGGGUCCAAGCGUUAUCCGGAAUCACUGGGCGUAAAGCGUGCGCAGGUGGUCUGUUAAGUGAGAUGUUAAAUCGUGUGGCUCAACCAUAUCGAUGCAUCUCAUACUGGCAGACUAGAGGAAGGCAGAGGCAAGUGGAAUUGGUAGUGUAGCAGUGAAAUGCGUAGAUAUUACCAGGAACACCAAUGGCGAAGGCAGCUUGCUGGGCCUUAUCUGACACUCAGGCACGAAAGCGUGGGGAGCGAACAGGAUUAGAUACCCCCGUAGUCC